This is a long non-coding RNA of Rosa rugosa (rugosa rose), 1573 nucleotides long. RefSeq lists it as uncharacterized. The record is from RefSeq and is a predicted model, not a curated record. Lineage: Eukaryota; Viridiplantae; Streptophyta; Magnoliopsida; Rosales; Rosaceae. The transcript is spliced from 3 exons.
CCUGUCUGUGGCAGCCUUUCACGGCGGCGCGGCCUGUAGCGGCGGCGGCAAGCCCGGUCCGAUUUAAGCUCGAUUUUGGUCAACGCCGGUUUUCUCCUAGCUCCGGCCACCAAAACUUCCGAUCCUUGGCUCCAUGAACUCCCCUCAACCUGCUGAUCAUCAUACUAGGAGGAUUGCACCUAGAGUGACCGGUUUCACGUUCGUCGGAGCUCGUGGGUUCCCCUUGAUGUUAUUAACAACUCUCUAGAAGGCAUCGAGGCCUGAAAUUGAAGCUUUGACGUCGAAAUCGAGCCUUGCCGGAUUCUGCAAAAUUCUGGAAUUUUUCCGACCACCGAAGAUUUCGAUCGGUAUAUCUCGAGCUACAGACCAUAUUUUUCUGUGAUUCUUGAACCAGUGAGUUCUUCUUGAGUUUCUUAACAACUCUUCAGAAGGAAUCGAAGCCUUAAAUUGACGUUUUUACGUCGAAUUGGAGCUCGCCGUUUUCUGCAGUUUCUCGCCGGUUUCUGGAAAAUUCCGGCCACCUUCAUACUGUUCAAGGUGAUUGACGGUUUAAGUUGGUGGACGAUUGUGGAUCGUAUUCUGAGCUGUUGAGAAGACGCAGCGGGAUUAGAGGUGAGUAAACCUCACGUGGUUCAUAUUACGAACCCAAUAUAUUUAAUUGCUUUAUUUUGCAAUCAUAUGAACUAUUGUUGGUGUAUUAGACAUUCCUGUGUGAAUGUCUGUAUAUAUAUUAUUACGUGAAAUAAUAUGUAUUGUUGGAGUUGUGUUGAGUUUAUUGUUGAGAAACAAUAUAUUGUGAGGGGUAUUGAGUUUAUUGUUGAGAAACAAUAUAUUGUGAGGGGUAUUGAGUUUAUUGUUGUGAAACAAUAUAUUGAGAGAGAUGUUGAGUUUUAUUGUUGAGGAACAAUAAAUUGUUGUGAUCUGUGGAGAUCAAUAGGUCACGGGGUGACCAUGGCAUACUAUCAGCGAACCACGCUCUCGCGCCGGGUAGGUGGAACUGAAUAGUAUUAAAUCGUGAACCACGCUCUCGCGCCGGGUAGGUGGAAACGAUCAGUUAGAGCUCUAGUCUGUCUGCCAAUUGUUGAGUGGUGUUGUGAGAGAAAUGUUGAGGUUACUUGAGACUGUGAGUGGUCAUGUAUGAGUGAUGUUGAGGUUACUUGAGACUGUGAGGGGUCUUAUGUGAGAAGUGUUGAGGAUACUUGAGUCUUUUAAGAAUGAGUUCUUAAAAGAGAGCCUCAAGAGUAUCCUUCCUUUUAUGGUGAUUGUGUUGAGUUAUAUUAAUUGUAAAGAAAUAAAUCAACAAUUCUUUCUUGUUUACUCAUACUGGCUGUAAAAAGCUUACCGGGUUUUGUGUUGUUGCAACUCCCGGUACACUAUUCAAAUUGUGUAGCGGGUAAUCCUACAGGACAGGAGAACCAGGACGGUGAUCGUGCGGUUAGAGCAAUUGUUAGAGUUUUACAGCAAUUGUACGUUGUGAGGUGUGUUAUGCUCAUUUGAGCUUUACAAUAUUGCUUGUGAGAGUGAAUUGUAAUAAUGAACUCGAAGUUUCGAGAUUUGGAUUUUGUAAUUGUAA